AUGGCUAAAAAGAAAUUUUGGAACACCAGGAAGUUUAGUUCUAAUUUAUUCAAACAUCCAUUUCUUUCUAUCAGGAGGUGUACUCCGUACAUCGAGUUGUCUUCGUACUUGACGUACUUGUAGAUCUCAAUCACCGCUGUCAUAGGUGAUAUUUGUACUUGUGUCCACAAGGGUUCGUUGUAUUUAUGAUACACCCAUUGUUGUUAUCCACAAGUAUUCAUUUGCAGAGAAUCGUUGUAUCAACUACGACCUCUUGGAAAUAUUUGUAGAAGACCCAUUAUUCCUACAUCAUAUCCACCUUUCACCAAUCUCAGGUGGCAGGUGAUGUUCGUGUGUAGGGAUUGAUCUUCUACCAUCAAUUGACAGUGCUACCUUCUUCAAUCAACAGGGAUUGUCAUAGGAGUUCAUUACAUCAUGCUUAUAUAUAUUUGUGAUGUAUUGCAGAAUUCCUCACAUUUGCUCACAAACAUGUAUCGAAUGUACAACAGACCUCCAAAAAAGGAUCGUAAGCAUUUGCAUUUGGCAUAAUAACUUUGUAUCUUGCUUAUGAACAAUGAAUUGAGUGUACCACGAGUUCUCUACAGUGGCUCGUGGAUACUUACAUUUGUUAUAAUCAUUUGGUACUUUGUUUGUAGAUGAUACUUCACAUACAUGAAAUACUUUUUUACGACGACUCGUAGGAAUUUGGAUUCAUCGUAGCCUUAUAUCUUUGCUUAUGGAGAAUAGAUGUACUUGUGUCUAUAGAGGAUUUACUACGCUUAUUAUGUAUCCACUAUUGUUAUCCAUAAGUAAUUUCAGUGGUCGUCGUAGAGGAUAAAUGAAUCCAUAUGUUUAUUGACCUUCAUUACUUACAAGUAUCACUACUUUGAUCUAUAAGUAAGUGGUUGUAUGCAUGAAGAGCCUUAUAUCAUUGCAUGUAGACACUUCAUCAUAUUUCUCAUUCAAUCAUCGCAUGGAUGUCAACUUAAUUGGAGAGCUUGAGUCACUUUAAUUUCAUCACUUCUUGCCCCGAUGAUUCUUAUCGAACAUACAUCCUCUAUUUGAUCUCGAUUGAGUAAUCAUGAAUGUCGAUCAAUACUUGGAUGACGAUUGUUUGCUAUUUGAUUGCGCUUUCAUUUAAUUUUUGUUUGCAUACCAAACCCCUUCACUUGUACAUGGAGUGGAGGAAGAAACGAAGACCCUAUUCUCUCGGGUAUUUGACGACACAUGUGUACAUUCAACCGAGGCGAGUUCGUAUAAUUCACGAGGAAGUGACGCGAACGGCGCCAACCUGUAGGAGGUAAGCGGGAUUUUAACGAAAAAUCUGGGAUUCUUCUAUCCUUUUGCUUUUUUUUUAAUCUGUUAAGGUCAACAAAUGCCCCCAACAAAAAUGUGGUUCGCGUAUAGAGCGAAUCAUAUUUGUUGUAUGUUGAUUGACCCUGAAGAUCUCUAGAUAUUCAUUCUAGAUGUCACACUAGGGAUUCCAUUUAGCGAAUAUCCAAGAGUUUGCUUGGAUUUCACACUAAGAUUUUCAUUUAGUGGAUCUCCAAAAAUUUAUUUGGAUGUCGCACUAAGAUUUUCAUUUUAUAGAUCUCCAAAAGUCUAUCUCUGUAUCUUCUUCGUUUUAGAUAUACUUGCAAUAUUCAAUGUAGUUGAUAUAUUUACUCUUGGUCAAGUAGAGAUCUCGGGGUAGUGAUAGAGUACUUUGUACUUUAGGUCUCUAGAGCAUCACUCUGUAGAUUGAUGCUAGCAUAUGGCAUUGCGAUCUUUUGCUCUUCUUUUUCCACCACUGUCAUAUUAGUUUCUUGCAUAUUCAUGAAUGCUUGCAUCUUUCUCUACAGUUUGCAAGACUCUUGUUGUUUCAGGUUUUCUAUAGUUACUUCUUGGGCUCAGGUACAUUUUCUUCCAUUCUUCUUAGUUUUGAUUUUACGCUCAUACUGAAAAUGCUUUGUAUUUUGUGCAAGUUAUUACGGGAAGAGAAUUCAAGCUUCAACCAGUUUACUGCCUCAGGAGACUUCAGUUUUAGUACGUUUUUACUUUAUUUGUGUAGUUCUUUUUCUUUCUUUAGCUGCUUACUGACAUUUUUGUUGCUCUAUGCAGGCUUCAAGAUAAGCGGGAUACUUUUUCGUGAGUCAUCUCAGGAGACCUCUGUUUCAGGUCCUAGAAGUACAGAACACAUGGUCUUUAGAAGGAGUGGAAUAAAGCUAUCGGCUUCCUAUUUGGGCGUAGUUUAGGGAACAGAUUGUAGUCCUCUAUGAAGGAUAUUGUACUUUUCCUUUUCUUUCAGCUGAUGUAACCUUGUAAAAAGAUGUAGUCCAUAAAUUUGUAUAUGAAUUCUGAAUUUAAUAAAAUAAAGUGAUUUUAUAAA
Long non-coding RNA from Dendrobium catenatum, 2347 nucleotides. RefSeq lists it as uncharacterized. The transcript is spliced from 2 exons. The record is from RefSeq and is a predicted model, not a curated record. Lineage: Eukaryota; Viridiplantae; Streptophyta; Magnoliopsida; Asparagales; Orchidaceae.